UACGUAGGGUGCAAGCGUUGUCCGGAAUUAUUGGGCGUAAAGAGCUCGUAGGCGGUUUGUCGCGUCUGCUGUGAAAACGCGAGGCUCAACCUCGCGCCUGCAGUGGGUACGGGCAGACUAGAGUGUGGUAGGGGAGAUUGGAAUUCCUGGUGUAGCGGUGGAAUGCGCAGAUAAUCAGGAGGAACACCGAUGGCGAAGGCAGAUCUCUGGGCCAUUACUGACGCUGAGGAGCGAAAGCGUGGGGAGCGAACAGG
This 254-nucleotide ribosomal RNA is filed under the name uncultured bacterium. Its description in RNAcentral is "partial 16S ribosomal RNA". It matches the Rfam family "Bacterial small subunit ribosomal RNA", at positions 524 to 776 of the family's 1533-position model. The record is from RNAcentral.